CACUGGGAUGAUGUGAAUUUGUUUAUUUUAGUUGGUGUGAGAGUGUGGCCCUGUGGGAUGGAGGGUAGGGAGGUUGAUUAAAGAUUCUCUCAGAAUCGAACCGUUCCUGCAAUUUUUUCCAGUCUACAUUUUUCUUGUGCGAUAGCAAUUUUGUUAUGUCUUAACUUUAGUGAGAAAACUUAAUUUGGAUCGACUUAGUGUUAGGAUAAGAAGCUGCUAAUUGCCAGCCUGUGGAGUUGGCUACAUAAAGGGUUAUUUGUUUUGUACUUUUGAGCAUAUUAUGAUCAUCUCGAAAUAGUGGUAAAAAUGCUAUUACAUCAGAAUCUGUUAGUGAGAUGCAAUCAGUAAUAAUUUUGUCCAGUUUCUGCAACACCUACAGGCUACAAUAGAGGUUCUUAUGAGGUUACUAUAUUAGUAGGGAAAAUUUACUCUCAUCUAUCCUUCUCUUGCACUAGAUAUAAUUGGUGUUGAAAUAAAAGGAAGAUUAUGUGGCUAGCUGUAUAAUUUCUAGCAAGUCUUCCCACAACCUGAUGCUUAAGCCGGAUUCCUUGCUCUGGGUCCGAACCGAUAUUCCUCAUAAUUCAACUGUCCUAAAUUGUCAGUGUAGGAGUCUUCUAUUGCUUUUUGACCUUGCUAAAGCGAUAUUUGUGAUAGAUUUACUGGCUUUAGGCUUCUUGGCAAUUGUCCUGGGAGCAGGCUGCUACAGUGGGACUCCUAAUCACUCGCACAAGCAACCUCUAUAAAGCCUAUAAUAGAGGCUUAAAGACACUGCAGGAUAUCUGUGUCGUGCAUGUUAGUCUAAAUAGAGAAGAACUUACUUGUGUUGGGGAUAUGGAUGUAGAUACAGAUAAUUUCUAUCUUGGGCAGGACCGGAGGAGGUUAUAGUUGAUCUGAAUCCAAAAUUAUUGAUAUUUUAGGUGUUUCUAGGACCUAUGUCUUGCUAGUUUGUAAUAUCAAGCUUCUAAGCAAAAGCCACGUACUAGUUCAUAGUUUUCAGGGUGAAUGACAAGCUACCUGCAGAUUCAUAAUAACUAAAAUCCAUAAAUGUAUAGCUUACGAUGUUCUGGUNCUGGGAUGAUGUGAAUUUGUUUAUUUUAGUUGGUGUGAGAGUGUGGCCCUGUGGGAUGGAGGGUAGGGAGGUUGAUUAAAGAUUCUCUCAGAAUCGAACCGUUCCUGCAAUUUUUUCCAGUCUACAUUUUUCUUGUGCGAUAGCAAUUUUGUUAUGUCUUAACUUUAGUGAGAAAACUUAAUUUGGAUCGACUUAGUGUUAGGAUAAGAAGCUGCUAAUUGCCAGCCUGUGGAGUUGGCUACAUAAAGGGUUAUUUGUUUUGUACUUUUGAGCAUAUUAUGAUCAUCUCGAAAUAGUGGUAAAAAUGCUAUUACAUCAGAAUCUGUUAGUGAGAUGCAAUCAGUAAUAAUUUUGUCCAGUUUCUGCAACACCUACAGGCUACAAUAGAGGUUCUUAUGAGG
This 1470-nucleotide long non-coding RNA is filed under the name Daucus carota (carrot). Its description in RNAcentral is "long non-coding RNA (DCAR_LNC002997)". Lineage: Eukaryota; Viridiplantae; Streptophyta; Magnoliopsida; Apiales; Apiaceae. The record is from RNAcentral.